This 343-nucleotide unclassified non-coding RNA is filed under the name soil metagenome. Its description in RNAcentral is "partial contains 5.8S ribosomal RNA, internal transcribed spacer 2, and large subunit ribosomal RNA". The stretch from base 1 to 120 matches the Rfam family "5.8S ribosomal RNA", at positions 35 to 154 of the family's 154-position model. The record is from RNAcentral.
GAUGAAGAACGUAGCGAAAUGCGAUAAGUAAUGUGAAUUGCAGAAUCCAGUGAAUCAUCGAAUCUUUGAACGCACAUUGCGCCCGCCAGCAUUCUGGCGGGCAUGCCUGUUCGAGCGUCAUUUCAACCCUCGACCUCCCUUUGGGGAAGUCGGCGUUGGGGACCGGCAGCACACCGCCGGCCCUGAAAUGGAGUGGCGGCCCGUCCGCGGCGACCUCUGCGUAGUAAACCAACUCGCACCGGAACCCCGACGUGGCCACGCCGUAAAACACCCGACUUCUGAACGUUGACCUCGAAUCAGGUAGGACUACCCGCUGAACUUAAGCAUAUCAAUAAGCGGAGGA